GAUGAAGAACGCAGCGAAAUGCGAUACGUAAUGUGAAUUGCAGAAUUCAGUGAAUCAUCGAGUCUUUGAACGCACAUUGCGCCCCCUGGUAUUCCGGGGGGCAUGCCUGUCCGAGCGUCAUUGCUGCCCUCAAGCACGGCUUGUGUGUUGGGCCUCCGUCCUCCUCCCGGGGGACGGGCCCGAAAGGCAGCGGCGGCACCGCGUCCGGUCCUCGAGCGUAUGGGGCUUCGUCACCCGCUCUUGUAGGCCCGGCCGGCGCUUGCCGACACAUCAAUCUUUUUUCCAGGUUGACCUCGGAUCAGGUAGGGAUACCCGCCGAACUUAAGCAUAUCAAUAAGCGGAGGA
Molecule: unclassified non-coding RNA, 345 nt
Filed under: soil metagenome
Description: partial contains 5.8S ribosomal RNA, internal transcribed spacer 2, and large subunit ribosomal RNA
Rfam family: 5.8S ribosomal RNA (bases 1-120)
Source: RNAcentral